UACGUAGGGACCAAGCGUUGUUCGGAUUUACUGGGCGUAAAGGGCGCGUAGGCGGCAAUUCAAGUCAUCUGUGAAAUCUCCGGGCUUAACCCGGAACGGUCAGAUGAUACUGCUUUGCUAGAGUGCGGAAGGGGCAAUCGGAAUUCUUGGUGUAGCGGUGAAAAUGCGUAGAUAUCAAGAGGAACACCUGAGGUGAAGACGGGUUGCUGGGCCGACACUGACGCUGACAGCGCGAAAGCCAGGGGAGCAAACGGG
RNAcentral lists this ribosomal RNA (255 nucleotides) under uncultured bacterium. RNAcentral describes it as "partial 16S ribosomal RNA". It matches the Rfam family "Bacterial small subunit ribosomal RNA", at positions 524 to 776 of the family's 1533-position model. The record is from RNAcentral.